Molecule: non-coding RNA, 22 nt
Filed under: Sclerotinia trifoliorum
Lineage: Eukaryota; Fungi; Ascomycota; Leotiomycetes; Helotiales; Sclerotiniaceae
Source: RNAcentral
UAUAAUCUAAUAUUGUUUCGAU